GCCUGGGUGGCUCAGUUGGUUGAGUGUCUGACUUUAGCUCAGGUCAUGAUCUCAUGGUUUGUGAGUUCCAGUCCUGCAUCAGGCU
This 85-nucleotide transfer RNA is filed under the name Felis catus (domestic cat). It matches the Rfam family "tRNA". Rfam says of the family: Transfer RNA (tRNA) molecules are approximately 80 nucleotides in length. Their secondary structure includes four short double-helical elements and three loops (D, anti-codon, and T loops). Further hydrogen bonds mediate the characteristic L-shaped molecular structure. tRNAs have two regions of fundamental functional importance: the anti-codon, which is responsible for specific mRNA codon recognition, and the 3' end, to which the tRNAs corresponding amino acid is attached (by aminoacyl-tRNA synthetases). tRNAs cope with the degeneracy of the genetic code in two manners: having more than one tRNA (with a specific anti-codon) for a particular amino acid; and 'wobble' base-pairing, i.e. permitting non-standard base-pairing at the 3rd anti-codon position. Lineage: Eukaryota; Metazoa; Chordata; Mammalia; Carnivora; Felidae. The record is from Rfam by way of RNAcentral.